CGGCGUGAUGACUGAUGGGUCUGCUGAGCGGUGAUGAUCCGCUGGAGUACUGACC
This is a small nucleolar RNA of Ferroglobus placidus DSM 10642, 55 nucleotides long. It matches the Rfam family "Small nucleolar RNA sR3". NCBI's taxonomy places the organism in Archaea, Methanobacteriati, Methanobacteriota, Archaeoglobi, Archaeoglobales, Archaeoglobaceae. The record is from Rfam.